Molecule: long non-coding RNA, 293 nt
Organism: Perca flavescens (yellow perch)
Lineage: Eukaryota; Metazoa; Chordata; Actinopteri; Perciformes; Percidae
Exons: 4
Source: RefSeq, a predicted model, not a curated record
AUCUGACAGCCGCUGCCUUGCCCGGUCCUUUUUCCAUCCUUUUCACUCUCUGGUGGUCAUCCCAGCUCGUUUAAGAGUCUCAGUCGGGACUGUGGGAGCGCGUCUGAUCGCUGUCUCCAACUUGGGGUGAAGAAAGACAGGGGAAACUCCUCGGGAUUCUCCGUACCCCGAGCUCUUUUCCGGAUAUUCUGUUUGACGUGCCACAGUGCUUCUUAAGGAGAAUUCUGGGGAGAUUUCUUACUCUUUCAUUCCUCAAGGAUGGAGCAGCACAGUGGACCUGUGUACUGAAGCAG